GAUGAACGCUGGCGGCGUGCCUAAUACAUGCAAGUCGAGCGAACGGACGAGAAGCUUGCUUCUCUGAUGUUAGCGGCGGACGGGUGAGUAACACGUGGAUAACCUACCUAUAAGACUGGGAUAACUUCGGGAAACCGUAGCUAAUACCGGAUAAUAUUUUGAACCGCAUGGUUCAAAAGUGAAAGACGGUCUUGCUGUCACUUAUAGAUGGAUCCGCGCUGCAUUAGCUAGUUGGUAAGGUAACGGCUUACCAAGGCAACGAUGCAUAGCCGACCUGAGAGGGUGAUCGGCCACACUGGAACUGAGACACGCUCCAGACUCCUACGGGAGGCAGCAGUAGGGAAUCUUCCGCAAUGGGCGAAAGCCUGACGGAGCAACGCCGCGUGAGUGAUGAAGGUCUUCGGAUCGUAAAACUCUGUUAUUAGGGAAGAACAUAUGUGUAAGUAACUGUGCACAUCUUGACGGUACCUAAUCAGAAAGCCACGGCUAACUACGUG
Molecule: ribosomal RNA, 497 nt
Filed under: uncultured bacterium
Lineage: Bacteria
Description: partial 16S ribosomal RNA
Rfam family: Bacterial small subunit ribosomal RNA
Source: RNAcentral